CAGAGAGCUUGUUGGACAACAUGUACUACUAAGCUACAUGAUUUUUUUAAAGACUGAUGACAAAAAAUCUUUUCAGUAUCUGCUGCAUCCUGGUCAGAGCUAUGAUGGAUGACCCUGGAAACAAAUGGAGACAAAUGGAGACAAAUGGAGAUUUACAUCACAUGGACACAGAGCAACCACACCACCACCACCACCACCACCACCAGGCUUCAUACACACGUCUUUCCUGAAGCUGUCAAACACGCCACCAUCAGUCUCCAAACACUUCCCGACACUCACAAUCACACACAACACACACACACACACACACACACACACACACACACACACACACACACACACACACACACACACACACACACACACACACACAUUGUAUUCUCCUAUACAUUACAGAAACCAGUUUUCACUGGUUUCUUAAUUUUAUUAAUAAUUCUGUUCAUCGUCAAGAAUUUAGUAUCGAUUAAAUACAUUGAACUCUUA
Long non-coding RNA from Tachysurus fulvidraco (yellow catfish), 483 nucleotides. RefSeq lists it as uncharacterized. The record is from RefSeq and is a predicted model, not a curated record. The transcript is spliced from 3 exons. NCBI's taxonomy places the organism in Eukaryota, Metazoa, Chordata, Actinopteri, Siluriformes, Bagridae.